CCUACGGGCGGCAGCAGUGGGGAAUAUUGGGCAAUGGGCGCAAGCCUGACCCAGCAACGCCGCGUGAAGGAAGAAGGCUUUCGGGUUGUAAACUUCUUUUCUCAGGGACGAAGCAAGUGACGGUACCUGAGGAAUAAGCCACGGCUAACUACGUGCCAGCAGCCGCGGUAAUACGUAGGUGGCAAGCGUUAUCCGGAUUUACUGGGUGUAAAGGGCGUGUAGGCGGGACUGCAAGUCAGAUGUGAAAACCAUGGGCUCAACCUAUGGCCUGCAUUUGAAACCGUAGUUCUUGAGUACUGGAGAGGCAGACGGAAUUCCUAGUGUAGCGGUGAAAUGCGUAGAUAUUAGGAGGAACACCAGUGGCGAAGGCGGGUUCCUGGACAUUAACUGACGCUGAGGCACGAAGGCCAGGGGAGCGAAAGGGAUUAGAUACCCUUGUAGUC
Molecule: ribosomal RNA, 443 nt
Filed under: uncultured bacterium
Lineage: Bacteria
Description: partial 16S ribosomal RNA
Rfam family: Bacterial small subunit ribosomal RNA
Source: RNAcentral